CAGCCGCCGCGGGAAUACGAAGGGUGCAAGCGUUACUCGGAAUUACUGGACGUAAAGCGUGCGUAGGUGGUGGUUUAAGUCCGUUGUGAAAGCCCUGGGCUCAACCUGGGAAUUGCAGUGGAUACUGGGUCACUAGAGUGUGGUAGAGGAUAGUGGAAUUUCCGGUGUAGCAGUGAAAUGCGUAGAGAUCGGAAGGAACAUCCGUGGCGAAGGCGACUAUCUGGGCCAACACUGACACUGAGGCACGAAAGCGUGGGGAGCAAACAGGAUUAGAUACCCGCGUAGUCCCUGUCUCUUAUAC
This 301-nucleotide ribosomal RNA is filed under the name uncultured bacterium. RNAcentral's name for it is "partial 16S ribosomal RNA". It matches the Rfam family "Bacterial small subunit ribosomal RNA", at positions 509 to 807 of the family's 1533-position model. The record is from RNAcentral.